GGGGUGUAGAAAGUAAAAGCACACAAAUUAAUUAAAAUAAAAUGAAAAGAUAGAGGUGUGAACGCGGAAAAGAGGAAAAAUAUAUAUUUAGAUAGAUUUGGAUUUAAAAGUCUAUUAUUUUAAGUGAGGGAAUAUUAGAGAUAGGGUUUGGGUGAUUUAUAUAUAAGGGUAGGGGUGACAUUUGUUUUAGAAACUCUAGAAACCCUACAUCAAAAAAGAGAAACAGAGAAAGAUGUUAAAGACAAAAUCGUUUAUAUGAACAAACGAUCUCAUGUUUUGAAGUUUA
This 286-nucleotide long non-coding RNA is filed under the name Vigna radiata. RNAcentral describes it as "long non-coding RNA (VRAD_LNC001979)". Lineage: Eukaryota; Viridiplantae; Streptophyta; Magnoliopsida; Fabales; Fabaceae. The record is from RNAcentral.